GUAGGUGGCGAGCGUUAUCCGGAAUGAUUGGGCGUAAAGGGUGCGCAGGCGGUUGUAUAAGUCUGAAGUAAAAGACAUCGGCUCAACCGGUGUAAGCUUUGGAAACUGUGUAACUAGAGUGCAGGAGAGGGCAGUGGAAUUCCAUGUGUAGCGGUAAAAUGCGUAGAUAUAUGGAGGAACACCAGUGGCGAAGGCGGCUGCCUGGCCUGUAACUGACGCUGAGGCACGAAAGCGUGGGGAGCAAA
Molecule: ribosomal RNA, 245 nt
Filed under: uncultured bacterium
Lineage: Bacteria
Description: partial 16S ribosomal RNA
Rfam family: Bacterial small subunit ribosomal RNA
Source: RNAcentral